RNAcentral lists this ribosomal RNA (497 nucleotides) under uncultured bacterium. Its description in RNAcentral is "partial 16S ribosomal RNA". It matches the Rfam family "Bacterial small subunit ribosomal RNA", at positions 28 to 507 of the family's 1533-position model. The record is from RNAcentral.
GAUGAACGCUGGCGGCGUGCCUAAUACAUGCAAGUCGAGCGAACAGAUGAGGAGCUUGCUCCUCUGACGUUAGCGGCGGACGGGUGAGUAACACGUGUAUAACCUACCUAUAAGACUGGGAUAACUUCGGGAAACCGGAGCUAAUACCGGAUAAUAUAUUGAACCGCAUGGUUCAAUAGUGAAAGACGGUUUUGCUGUCACUUAUAGAUGGAUCCGCGCCGCAUUAGCUAGUUGGUAAGGUAACGGCUUACCAAGGCAACGAUGCGUAGCCGACCUGAGAGGGUGGUCGGCCACACUGGAACUGAGACACGGUCCAGACUCCUACGGGAGGCAGCAGUAGGGAAUCUUCCGCAAUGGGCGAAAGCCUGACGGAGCAACGCCGCGUGAGUGAUGAAGGUCUUCGGAUCGUAAAACUCUGUUAUUAGGGAAGAACAAAUGUGUAAGUAACUAUGCACGUCUUGACGGUAACUAAUCAGAAAGCCACGGCUAACUACGUG